RNAcentral lists this ribosomal RNA (253 nucleotides) under uncultured bacterium. RNAcentral's name for it is "partial 16S ribosomal RNA". It matches the Rfam family "Bacterial small subunit ribosomal RNA", at positions 524 to 776 of the family's 1533-position model. The record is from RNAcentral.
UACGGAGGGUGCAAGCGUUGUCCGGAUUUAUUGGGUUUAAAGGGUGCGUAGGCGGCUGAUUAAGUCUGGGGUGAAAGCCCGUUGCUCAACAACGGAACUGCCCUGGAAACUGGUUAGCUUGAGUACAGACGAGGGUGGCGGAAUGGAUGCUGUAGCGGUGAAAUGCAUAGAUAGCAUCCAGAACCCCGAUUGCGAAGGCAGCUGCCUAGACUGUAACUGACGCUGAGGCACGAAAGCGUGGGGAGCGAACAGG